CUGCAGAGGCCUCCGGCGCAAUGUAAGUCGUUCUUGUCUAAACCUGUGGACUGUAACUCCUUUAAGUGUAAACAUUUUGUUCCUUCACCUCCAUCACCUUCACCAUUUCCUUCACCUACAGCACCGGUAACACCUUCUCCAUCACCUUCUACGCCUUCACCAUUUCCUUCACCUACAACACCGGUAACACCACCUUCACCCUCACAUUCCCCUCCAUCACCUUCUACGCCUUCACCUACAACACCGGUUACACCUUCUCCCUCACAUUCACCUCCAUCACCUGCUACACCUUCACCAUUUCCUUCACCUACAACACCGGUAACACCUUCACCCUCACAUUCCCCUCCAUCACCUGCUACACCUUCACCAUUUCCUUCACCUACAACACCGGUAACACCUUCACCCUCACAUUCCCCUCCGUCACCUGCUACACCUACAACACCGGUAACACCUUCACCUUCACAUUCCCCUCCGUCACCUGCUACACCUUCACCAUUUCCUUCACCUACAACACCGGUAACACCUUCACCUUCACAUUCCCCUCCGUCACCUGCUACACCUUCACCAUUUCCUUCACCUACAACUCCUGUAACACCUUCACCUCCAUCGCCUUCUACUCCUUCACCCUUUCCUUCACCUACGACACCUGUGACACCUUCACCUGUUCAUAGUCCUCCUUCUCCAGUGUAUUUGCCACCGCCACAUUCUUCCCCUACACCACCUGCUCAUAAUUACGGCUCUCCGCCACCCCAUCACUCACCCGCUCAACCUGUUUAUCCUUAUUUAUCACCGCCACCUCCUCCCUCUGUCCAUUCUUCACCUCCACCACCACCACCACCACCUUGUAUAGAACUUCCUCCACCCCCUCCCCAAUCUACACCUUCUCCCACACCUUACCUGCCACCACCAUCCCCAUCUCCUCCCCCGCCACCGCCACCGGUAUACCAUUCUCCACCGCCGGCAUCACCGCCUCCGUGCGAAACUCCAC
RNAcentral lists this long non-coding RNA (988 nucleotides) under Glycine max (soybean). RNAcentral describes it as "long non-coding RNA (GMAX_LNC001644)". Lineage: Eukaryota; Viridiplantae; Streptophyta; Magnoliopsida; Fabales; Fabaceae. The record is from RNAcentral.